UUACGGCCAGAUCACGUUGAAGCACCUGCUACCGUACGAUCAUCAAAGUUAAGAAACGUCGAUCCUGGUCAAUACCUAGAUGGGUAACCGCUCGGGAAUAUCAGGUGCUGCAAG
Molecule: non-coding RNA, 114 nt
Organism: Acanthosepion pharaonis
Lineage: Eukaryota; Metazoa; Mollusca; Cephalopoda; Sepiida; Sepiidae
Source: the annotation of a GenBank genome assembly